AGGGCCCUAUCCCGGGGUGCUCGGAGCCCCCCUCGCCAUCCGCUGCUGUCAUGUAUGCGACAGGGCACGUGCACUUUUUGUAUAGGUACUUGUAUGCAUGUGAAAUUUAGUUACCUGAGCAAUCCCAUUGAUUCGGAUGAGAGCGUUCAUGUGACUAAAAUAAAUUAAACAUGGGAAUGUUUGGAAGAGUGUGACCUUAGAGAUGAACAGUCGUAUUUCGAAGUAUCGAGAGGAUACCUAUUAAAACGUAAAGCCAGGAGUUCCUAUCUGAACCUGGAAACAGAAGCACGCUUAGCUAGUGCACCUGCAAAAUAAUGGUACUCAUGGGAAAUCUCUUGAUCAGAUUCACAUCUGUUCCUGUCAAAGUGGGUGCUAAGAUACCGGUCACCCAGCAACCAUGUCCAAGAGGGAAUUGGGCCGAUAAUAACUUCAAAAAGGAAUGACAGAUGCUAGAUUAGGAUGAAAGACAAAACGCAUGAAAAAUGAGCUUGUUAGAAUAAAAAAAUUGUUCAAGCACCUUCAUGCAAAUUAAAUGAAUAUUGAACAUUUGCAUGCAGUAAUUUCUACUUUUUCUGUCGAUUGAGAAGAAAUAA
Rhea pennata is the source of this 593-nucleotide long non-coding RNA. RefSeq lists it as uncharacterized. The record is from RefSeq and is a predicted model, not a curated record. The transcript has 3 exons. Lineage: Eukaryota; Metazoa; Chordata; Aves; Rheiformes; Rheidae.